UAAGGAAUAUUGGACAAUGCCCGCAAGGGUGAUCCAGCCAUGCCGCGUGCAGGAAGACGGCCCUCUGGGUUGUAAACUGCUUUUAUUCGGGAAUAAACCUAUCUACGUGUAGAUAGCUGAAUGUACCGAAGGAAUAAGGAUCGGCUAACUCCGUGCCAGCAGCCGCGGUAAUACGGAGGAUCCAAGCGUUAUCCAGAUUUAUUGGGUUUAAAGGGUGCGUAGGCGGCUUAUUAAGUCAGGGGUGAAAGACGGUGGCUCAACCAUCGCAGUGCCCUUGAUACUGAUGAGCUUGAAUGGACUAGAGGUAGGCGGAAUGUGACAAGUAGCGGUGAAAUGCAUAGAUAUGUCACAGAACACCGAUUGCGAAGGCAGGUUACCAUGAUUUAACUGACGCUGAGGAACGAAAGCGUGGGGAGCGAACA
This 422-nucleotide ribosomal RNA is filed under the name uncultured bacterium. Its description in RNAcentral is "bacterial SSU rRNA". It matches the Rfam family "Bacterial small subunit ribosomal RNA", at positions 355 to 774 of the family's 1533-position model. The record is from RNAcentral.